UUAGUCCUCUAAAGAUCGCUGAGUGAUAGAAGGAUUUGAAGUUUAAAUCAAUAUUGUUAUUAUCUGCAGCUAUUACUGGAUAGAUGUGGGUUUAGGCUCUUAGAAUCAUAAAUCAUUAUCAUGUUAAUAGAAAGAGAUGCAUUACAAUAAGACACAUAUUAAACCACAUGUGAAAGUUACCUCUUUUGUCUUUUUCUUCAAGCAGCACAGUGGAGCAACGAAAGGAACCAACACCACUACUGCAGCUAUUACAGUGAUCGAGGAGGAAUCUAUCCCAGUCAAACUGACCCAGAAAUCACCAAUCUGUAAAUGUGUGAAAGAGUUUCUCACAUCAUCAUCAUCAUCAUGUGUCUGUUGGACCUCAGGAAUCGUCACCAUCACCUCUCUGUGAGGAGCAGAGAGCACUCGUGCUGCACAUCCCACCUGUGUGCUGUGUUUACAUGAACCUGAGAGCACAGCUGUAGUGGUGACAGUGAAUGUAGCGUUGGUGUUGGACACACUGACAGUGUUGUACUGUGAGAAGUUGAGGUCUUGUUGUGAGACACUGAGUGUUACAGUGGGAGCAGGUCGACCAGUGGCUGAACAGGAAACAACCCACUCUUCAGUAGAGUUUGACUCUCUGACAUCAACAA
Molecule: long non-coding RNA, 632 nt
Organism: Oreochromis niloticus (Nile tilapia)
Lineage: Eukaryota; Metazoa; Chordata; Actinopteri; Cichliformes; Cichlidae
Exons: 2
Source: RefSeq, a predicted model, not a curated record